RNAcentral lists this transfer RNA (73 nucleotides) under Marmota monax (woodchuck). RNAcentral's name for it is "tRNA.Val". The record is from RNAcentral. Lineage: Eukaryota; Metazoa; Chordata; Mammalia; Rodentia; Sciuridae.
GGGGUUGUGGCUCAGCGGUAGGGCGCUCAGACCUCACAUGUGUGCGGCUCUGGGUUCGAUCCUCAGCACCACA